GUACAUAUCUUUAAAGAAAAAAGAAUGAUUGGUUUUCAAGGUGCAGGAGGGCUUAUUUAUCUAGCAAUAAGAAAACAAUGUUAGCUCUCCCACAGUAGCCUUUAAUAGCUCUGCAUUCCAGCCUGAGUACAGAUGGAGCUUUGAUAUUAUAGCAGUUUUGCAGUGACUGUGUGCUGUAUAUCCUGCUGCUAAUCCUAUGGUGGAAGUCAGUGCCUCUUAACACCUGGUGCCAAGACACAACCAUUUGCCUGAACCUGACACAACUGAUUUCAGCAACAGGAUAUGCAGUGUCGUGGGCUGGAUUUGGGCAUAUCCUAGCUUGUGCUGUGACACAAACCCUGUUGGGCUGGAGACUUCACCAGUGCAGACCAAAAAGCUGUCCCUACCCCGAAGAGGUGUCAGACUCCCAAGCCCUUUAAAAACAAACUUCAGAUUCAUCACAUGGAAGUGAUCUCAUCGCAUUACAGAUUCGCCUUCCUGGGAAACUAAACUUCUGGUGUAAUCAUGGGAAAGUCUCACCUUCCCUUUUUUAGUUUCCUUUAACCAAGGUUCUAUUGAAAUCGGCUUGGCAGGCUAACAACUCAGAAGCUAAGAGACAAAAGACAACUCUUCAUUACUAUUAGGAUUUGUUUUAAUCUUAUGAUUUGCUUAUCAUUCUCAUGAUUCUGGGGAGAUGGCAAGCCAGUUUUGAAUACUUAAUGGCAUAUAUGUGAAUCUAUAGAGAAGGCAGGUCCCCUCAUAAUAUGUUUUACCAACACAGCAGUCUGUCUGUCCCACUGCCAACAAAAAAAGAAGCCCCCUAAUUAAUUACUGCUCCAUCUUUUGUAGUCUUCUUUGAGCUGCAACAGUUUCUGUUCACUCCUACUCUUAUUCUAACUCUCACAAAUCCUUUGCACAACUGGAAACCCGGCUUAGCAAAUCCAAUAUCGCCAUAGUCAAGCGAGGAAGGACUUGGCUCCUCUUCAAAGGGAGCUUUUAUCAAGUGUUUAGUGUGAUGUGACAAAGCAGGGAAGUGUGCCAUGGAUGCGAUGCUUCCAAAUUCCCCCCCUUCUACUGUGAUUAAACUUAAGAGCGAUUACCCAGGUUGAUGAACCUGCCAAUGUGCAUCUUGUUUACAGCUUUGCUGAGUUUUUAACAUGUUUUCCUGUUUUGGACUAGGACAGCACACUUUCGCUUUAUGCCCUCGAUAAAAUCCCGUUUAAAACAUGGAGUUUCUAAUGUUUUGCCACUAGAACUAUGGGAAGAAGAAAGCCUUUCCUGAGGUGCCCUGGGACAUCGCUGCUCAUGUGCAGUCAUGGUUGGGCCCCAGCAGACCUCCGAGGUCUUGCUGCCAGAGGAAGAAAGCUUUGGAUGGGGCCAGGAGAAAUGAAAAAGAUUUAUCCUGGGACUGUUUUAUUGUGCUUGGAACAGGCAUGCACCGUUCGGUGUGAGCGGGCUCAAGACGCUGCUGUAAAUCCCAGAUGAAAGUUUCAUGGCCUUUGCCAUUUCAUUUUGCCCUGUUUUAUUUUGUGUGUUUCCCUCUCAUCCCUGGAUUCCACUUUAUUCCUAAUUUUGAUAAAUUUAGAACAUUGGAUCAAAGUCUUAUUUAAAAAAAAAAAAAAAACCCAACAGAUUUUGGCAAUCAAUACGUUGCGAAACGUAUUUAUUUUACCAAUUUCCCAGUUGCCCAAAGAGGUCACUUUAAAAAUGACUGCAUCUGACUCGUUUUACUUGAAAAAAUCUUCUUUCAUUUUUCUCUCUUUUUUCUUUUUUUCUUCACAAGAACCAGGACAAUUUUCAGAGGAACUUUACCAGGAGAAAUGCACACCAGCACCUGGUGAAAUUUCCGUGUUUGGGUUUGAAUCUGUCAGGUUAUGUGGAGAAAAACAAAUAUGUCGUGAAUUUUCCAGUUCAGUCGCUUUGACAAAUCAAGAUUAUGACAUGGCACUGACCCGUUCUUUGCCAAGGACUCACUUGUUGCCUGUGAAGCCAUUUGUGGACAGUGGUGGGACACCAGGCCCAGUUCAUGGUUGACCAUCACUCUGUGCCAGGACUCCAAAUGA
Molecule: long non-coding RNA, 2042 nt
Organism: Neopsephotus bourkii (Bourke's parrot)
Lineage: Eukaryota; Metazoa; Chordata; Aves; Psittaciformes; Psittacidae
Exons: 4
Source: RefSeq, a predicted model, not a curated record